This 253-nucleotide ribosomal RNA is filed under the name uncultured bacterium. RNAcentral's name for it is "partial 16S ribosomal RNA". It matches the Rfam family "Bacterial small subunit ribosomal RNA", at positions 524 to 776 of the family's 1533-position model. The record is from RNAcentral.
UACGUAGGGUGCGAGCGUUAAUCGGAAUUACUGGGCGUAAAGCGUGCGCAGGCGGUCCGCAAAGUCUGAUGUGAAAGCCCCGGGCUCAACCUGGGAACUGCAUUGGAAACUAACGGGCUCGAGUGUGGCAGAGGGAGGUGGAAUUCCACGUGUAGCAGUGAAAUGCGUAGAGAUGUGGAGGAACACCGAUGGCGAAGGCAGCCCCCUGGGCUAACACUGACGCUCAGGCACGAAAGCGUGGGGAGCAAACAGG